This 458-nucleotide ribosomal RNA is filed under the name uncultured bacterium. Its description in RNAcentral is "partial 16S ribosomal RNA". It matches the Rfam family "Bacterial small subunit ribosomal RNA", at positions 338 to 795 of the family's 1533-position model. The record is from RNAcentral.
CCUACGGGCGGCAGCAGUGGGGAAUAUUGCACAAUGGGGGAAACCCUGAUGCAGCGACGCCGCGUGAGUGAAGAAGUAUUUCGGUAUGUAAAGCUCUAUCAGCAGGGAAGAAAUAGCGACCUUUGGGUCGCCAGACGGUACCUGAUUAAGAAGCCCCGGCUAACUACGUGCCAGCAGCCGCGGUAAUACGUAGGGGGCAAGCGUUAGCCGGAUUUACUGGGUGUAAAGGGAGCGUAGACGGCAGCGCAAGUCUGAAGGGAAAUGCCGGGGCUAAACCCCGAAACUGCUAUGGAAACUGUGCAGCUAGAGUGCAGGAGAGGUAAGUGGAAUUCCUAGUGUAGCGGUGAAAUGCGUAGAUAUUAGGAGGAACACCAGUGGCGAAGGCAGCUUACUGGACUGUAACUGACGUUGAGGCUCGAAAGCGUGGGGAGCAAACAGGAUUAGAUACCCUUGUAGUC